UACAGAGGGUGCGAGCGUUUGUUCGGAAUUAUUGGGCGUAAAGCGCUUGUAGGCGGCUUGUUAAGUUCCGUGUGAAAUCCCCAGGCUUAACCUGGGAAGUGCGCGGAAAACUGGCGAGCUUGAGUGCCGGAGAGGGUCGCGGAAUUCCCGGUGUAGAGGUGAAAUUCGUAGAUAUCGGGAGGAACACCAGUGGCGAAGGCGGCGACCUGGACGGACACUGACGCUGAGACGCGAAAGCGUGGGGAGCAAACAGG
RNAcentral lists this ribosomal RNA (254 nucleotides) under uncultured bacterium. Its description in RNAcentral is "partial 16S ribosomal RNA". It matches the Rfam family "Bacterial small subunit ribosomal RNA", at positions 524 to 776 of the family's 1533-position model. The record is from RNAcentral.